RNAcentral lists this ribosomal RNA (399 nucleotides) under marine Metazoa environmental sample. Its description in RNAcentral is "SSU rRNA". It matches the Rfam family "Eukaryotic small subunit ribosomal RNA", at positions 587 to 972 of the family's 1831-position model. Lineage: Eukaryota; Metazoa. The record is from RNAcentral.
AGCUCCAAUAGCGUAUGUCAAAGUUGUUGCGGUUGAAAAGCUCGUAGUUGGAUCUCGAUGCCGGGCUGGCGGUGCGCCCGUAGUGGUGUUUUCUACUGCCAGUGCCGGCGAUAAAAAGAGGCCGGCAGUUUUCUUCCCUUGGUGCUCUUGACUGAGUGGCUUGGGUGGCCGGAACGUUUACUGUGAAAAAAUUAGAGUGCUCAAGGCAGGCCUACGUGCCCGAAUACUGGUGCAUGGAAUAAUAGAAUAGGACCUCGGCGCCACGUUUGUUGGUUUACGGUGCUCGAGGUAAUGAUUAAGAGGGACUGCCGGGGGCCUACGUACUGCGGCGCGAGAGGUGAAAUUCUGUGACCGUCGCAGGACGAACGAAAGCGAAAGCAUUUGCCAAGAAUGUUUUCC